Molecule: ribosomal RNA, 464 nt
Filed under: Vreelandella stevensii
Lineage: Bacteria; Pseudomonadati; Pseudomonadota; Gammaproteobacteria; Oceanospirillales; Halomonadaceae
Description: partial 16S ribosomal RNA
Rfam family: Bacterial small subunit ribosomal RNA
Source: RNAcentral
CCUACGGGGGGCUGCAGUGGGGAAUAUUGGACAAUGGGGGGAACCCUGAUCCAGCCAUGCCGCGUGUGUGAAGAAGGCCCUCGGGUUGUAAAGCACUUUCAGUGAGGAAGAACGCCUGGUGGUUAAUACCCAUCAGGAAAGACAUCACUCACAGAAGAAGCACCGGCUAACUCCGUGCCAGCAGCCGCGGUAAUACGGAGGGUGCGAGCGUUAAUCGGAAUUACUGGGCGUAAAGCGCGCGUAGGUGGCUUGAUAAGCCGGUUGUGAAAGCCCCGGGCUCAACCUGGGAACGGCAUCCGGAACUGUCAAGCUAGAGUGCAGGAGAGGAAGGUAGAAUUCCCGGUGUAGCGGUGAAAUGCGUAGAGAUCGGGAGGAAUACCAGUGGCGAAGGCGGCCUUCUGGACUGACACUGACACUGAGGUGCGAAAGCGUGGGUAGCAAACAGGAUAGAUACCCGUGUAGUC